Molecule: long non-coding RNA, 4765 nt
Organism: Triticum aestivum (bread wheat)
Lineage: Eukaryota; Viridiplantae; Streptophyta; Magnoliopsida; Poales; Poaceae
Exons: 8
Source: RefSeq, a predicted model, not a curated record
AGGGUUUCGUGGAGCCUGCGUGAACGAGGCAGACCAAUCCACUCCCGAAAACGAGAUCCUCGACAAGAGCCAGGCCAAUCCUCUCCCGGAAACCUAGCGCUGUCGGGCCAAUCCUCCGCGUCCCCUCCUCGCUGCGCCGCCUCCUCCUCCCCUCCACUUCUAUCCACCUCUCGACGCCCCAGCGCGUGGUCGCCGUCGCUGCUCGUCUCUUUCUUCCCACGACGCCUCCCCAUCCUCCAUCAGCCAUCGCCGCGGCUGUGGGCGCGCAGCGGCGGAGCGGGAGGCAGCGGCAGGCGUAGGCGGGCGGUGAAGGGAGGCGGACGCGGUCGGGCCACGGCGGCGGCGGGCAUGGCGGCUGCGGAAGGGCGCAGCGGAAGCGAGCAGCGCUAAAGGGUGUGGGACAGGGCGCGGCCGGCGCGUGCGGUGCACGAACAAGGUGUGCACGGGGCGGUCAGGCGGGGCGAGCAGCAGCGCGCGCGGGUGGCGCUCAGAAGCAGCAGCGGGCUCGCGCGGGUGGCACGGGGCGCGGCCUGCAGAGCCGACGGGUGGUAGCGGGCGGGGGCACACGCCCCAACCACCCAACCCCAACUCCGGCGGCCUCCUCUCCCUCCAUCGCCGCUGCUCCCCUCGAUCUGGGGCCUCCCCUCGCGUCUUCCAACCACCAAUCCCUCCGCUCUCGAGCCCCGUGUCCCCCCUCCGCCUCCUCCCCUUCGUGUUUCUCCUCCUCCCGCUAAGGCUCCAUGGCGGCGGGCCGGCUCAAGGCGGGGGAGCGGCGGAUGCGUCGGCGGCAGCACGAGAGGAGCGGUGGUGGCGGCGUCGAGCUGCGAUGAGGUGCCGCUCGGGCACGAGACGACGGAGACGGUGGCGGCUAUUCCGGGGCCCAUCUGGGGAGGGUACGAGGCAGGGAAGGAUGCCGUCGUCGCCUUCGCUGGUCUUCCUUCUGCCCCUUUUGCUCCCUCUGAUUUGCCCUCUUCCUAUCCCUCUUGCUCGCCAGCGGCGACUCCUCCCCUGCCUCCGCACGCCGCCCUCGAGUUGGAGGAAACGAGGACAACAUGCGGUCGAGCUCAGGCCGGCGACAUGUGCGCUAUCCGUCUCUUAUGUUUCCCUUGUGUCUCUUGGCCUGAGUUUUACGGCCAGUAUUGCCUUAGUGAGAUGUGUUGUUGAGUAAAAACUAAAAUUUUGUCCCAGAUGCUACUACUACUGAUUACUCGCAGUAAUUAGAAAUUUGUACUUAUGAUACACAAAUCAGUUACUUUACUACUUUGCCUAUUUCACUAACCAGUCUUCAUAUAAAUAUAUAAUAGAGGAUAAGGCCAUGGAAGUCCGAAUGGGUUCUGCUGGUGGUCACACUGGUAGGAACGGCAUUGCCUGUUAGUUGUUAUGAGAAGUAUGUUGGGAGAUUGCCACCUUCCUGAAAAUCACUGGACAAAGAAGCGAUGUGAUGGAAAACCAGAGUGCCAAAAGAAGGUGGAUUUGGCAGUUGCUGCUCCAUGAGACGAGUUUAUUUGCCUGCUCAAAAUUCAGACCUGGAAAGGAUGAAACCAGAUGGAACGCAAAAGCUACAUGGCAGAGCACAUUUUGGGCACUGGUUCAUUUGGCGCCGUCUUUCAGGCUAAAUGCUUGGAAACUGGGGAGACGGUAGCCAUUAAGAAGGUACUGUCGGGAGCUGCAGCUUAUGCGUUCGAUUAACCAUUCCAAUGUUGUCUUCCUCAAGCACUGCUUCUUCUCAACCACAAGUGGAGUGAGCUGUUUCUGAACCUUGUCAUGGAGUAUGUCCCGGAGACGCUCUACCGCGGGCUUAAGAACUACAGUAAUACCAAACAGGGGAUGUCACUUAUCUACGUCAAGCUUUACACCUAUCAGGGGGCUCGUGUACAUUCAUUACUAUUCGGAAUCUGUCACAGGGAUGUGAAGCCACAAUUUUUUUUGGUGGGCAGGGCCUUUGGAUGGGAAUCAUCUUCGGUAUUUUGGUCCAGGUCUUGUUGUUCGUGGCCAUCACACUGCACACCAUCUGGCAAAAUAAGCAACCAUGUUGACAGCCUGGCAUCUCUUUGUUCCAUUCUAUUGACUUCAUGUGGCAUUAUGUAUGAAGCCCUUUGAGCACAAAUCUUUCUAUGGAAGGACCUUCAUGGGAUUUGGAGUGCUCAAUGGCAUCUCAAUUUGGCUUCUCAAUCAGAGUCUAUGUUUCAACUCUGUUGGUUUCUAUCAGGGCAAGUCGAGUGCAUUGGUUGGAUCUAGAUUCCUGAUAUUGCAUAGGACUUGUCAAAAGGUUAGCAUCUAUUCUAUAAUGUGGGUCACAUAAAAAUCAAAAUUUUAAUUUCUAAAAUAAGAUUGAACCAUGUUUGAACCAUGUAUAUAUUUCCGGAUAACAAUUUACCUCUAAUAUCUAUGUACCUUAUUAUUCUGUCGCCGCUCUUCCGAUUUGCUCGGGUACCUUAUUAUUUCUCCCUAUUAUAGUGUUUUCUCAAAGUUGUAAUCCCAUAUCGUAAUUAAUUCCUUAUAGUAUACUUGCUUUUGCUCCUGUCAUCAUAACGAACCUAUUUAACUCAUGACAUGUGUAAUGGUCAUUUGUACCCAUUUAAUCUCUUCUAGAGCUCUUCAUGAAUCUAUGCUCUAUUUGCUGAAGAGGGUUCAGUGCAGUGUCUUCAAAGGUCGGGAAAAAAAUGUUAUGAUGCAGAGGGGACAACAUCUUGAAGGGAGCAAUGUUUUGAUACUUGCUUUAUAGGAAUUCUCUUUCUUUGCCUAGAACUUGUGAUUUAUGGCUGAUGACUAUUCCAUCUUUGCAGGUGCUUCUCAAUUAUAGAUGGAAAACUUGCCAUGGAGGCACAUAGCUUGCUGAUUUUGUUUCUGGAUUGGCCCUUGAGAGGGAGACCGACGCAUACUUCAGCAUGUUUCAGUCAUCUUUAAAGGAGUUGUGGUUGGUUGCCAUUGUGUUGAAGUAAUUUCUUGCUGAAGCACCGGUCUAAAUUUAUCAUUGGUUUCGCUGGUGCUUCAUGUAAGCGGGAUUACUAAUUGUUCCAUUGGUUUUGCUCUGGUAUUUUAAUCGUAAGAGAUGUCUCCAAAAAGGCAAAAACAACAAUUCACUGUUGAUUUACUUUGCUACGAUUGCUCCCAUUAGAUUGUCCUUAAAUCAUGUGCAAAGCUGAAGUAUUGUUCGCUGACUGUCAGCCUGACAGAUCAGAUGGGAUGAUGAUGCAGAGUGUUAAAAGGCCUAAUGGGUUAUCUCCUUGGUAGAUGAAGCUUGUUGGAUUGAUUUCAGGCCAUUGAAAACAGAUGACACCAUGCCUCCCCCAGUUAAUGAACAUGUGUCGCUUCCAAGUAAUAAUGAAUUUUCUACUAUCUCUGCUCUGCCGAACUUUCUUUUCUUUUGCCAUUUUGGCUGGUAGUCUUUCAUAGAAUUUUGUGAUAUCUACCUGACUCCAGAAGGUCAUGCAACAUUAAGAAUUGCUGGGUUUGAAAAACACAGGAUGGAAUUGUUAAUUCAUUAUCUCUGUCUGAAGCAAGACAUUUUUGGUACACUGUUGAAUAGAGUUGAUGUAUCAGCAUGAGUAACAUUGCGACAUUCUAAGGGUUGGUGCUAAAAGCCAACCUAGAAACCAUUGUUUUCCCAAAAACUAUGUGGUUCAUAUGUUGACAUGAUUGUUUACUAGUAGGACAACCAGGAGGUAGUGCAAUAUCCUUAUUAGUUAUACUCAGGGAUGCAAAAUCUUCACCUGAUGAUUCCACCCCUUUUUACAUGACACUAGCUGCCGCAUGGUAAAAGGUGUCUCGCCGAUGCUCUUUAUGACACCCGCUGACAGAUUAAUGAGUGCACUCAUAGAGAACAUAACAAGGUAUUUUAGGAAGUGCUUGGACUAGGUUCAAAUUUUUGAAAGUUUUAGGCACGCUUUUUUUACAGUGUUGGUUUCAAGUUUUUCUUUCCGACACAGUUAGACUUUCUGAAAUACAGCCUUGAACUACACAUGAAACAAUAGUGUUUAUUUGGUCACCAGCAAGAUGAUGAUGUGAAACGAAUGACUUUGCGUCUUUCAGAGUUUCUACCAUUAAAUAGUUUCCCAUAACAGAAUAUUUGCUAAUAUUGGUAGCUAAAAAUGAGAUACUUAUGCUUGUUGAUGCAUUCCCUUUUUGUAGUAACAUCCAUGUGUCCAGCAUAUGUAGAAUAUUAGAUUUUUUUGGCUGUUUAUUGUAGUUCGUUCUCAAGGUUUGGAAAAUUCUUUAGCUAUAUUCCUUGUCUCAAGCGAGCAUGAGCAAUAUCUUCUUUAUGCCGCAUGCCGCCAAUUUUCUAUUUUAGAUGGUUGUGUAUUUUCUCUUCUAAAAAGGGAUAUGUAUUUUAUUAAUCUGACUAUAAUUUGUGGUAGGUACAUACUGAAGGAUGUUCUGAGGCUAGCACCUGGUUUAGAAGUUUUGCAAUUCACAACAAUACCUCAUAAUUUUGAUUUGAUGUCCAGAAUGUCAAUUGAAGAAUGAGCCUAUGAACUGCAUUGUAUUUUGUAAUAUAUCCUUAUAUAUGGUGCUUGUGGCGUUUUGUUUUUGCAAUUAUAAGUUUACGUUUAUGGGUAUUAUAGAGUCCUUUCUUUUUCCACAAGGGGCAGUAGCUGUGCCAUUCGAUUCGAAGGACAAAGAGUUGAUCACAAAGGGGUAGCACUUAGGAUAUAUACACAAGAGUAUAGAACCAAAUUAUAUGAUGUAAUUCACCACUAUUUCUAUUAACUUCUCAUGUACAAAUGUUCACGAGUUCAUGUAUUAAGUACAUUUUAUUGUGUCA